Molecule: unclassified non-coding RNA, 263 nt
Filed under: plant metagenome
Description: partial contains small subunit ribosomal RNA, internal transcribed spacer 1, and 5.8S ribosomal RNA
Source: RNAcentral
UUUCCGUAGGUGAACCUGCGGAAGGAUCAUUAUUGUAUAACCGAGAUGCGAGGGCUGUCGCUGACCCGAAAGGUCGUGCACGCCCGAGUGCCCUCACACACAUCCAUCUCACCCCUAUGUGCACCACCGCGUGGGUCCCCCUUUGGCUUGUUCGGAGGGGGGCUUACGUUUUCACACAAACUUUGUAUGCAGUGUAGAAUGUAUUUUUUGUUUUUGCGGUCACGCAAUAAAUACAACUUUCAACAACGGAUCUCUUGGCUCUC